This 305-nucleotide ribosomal RNA is filed under the name uncultured bacterium. Its description in RNAcentral is "bacterial SSU rRNA". It matches the Rfam family "Bacterial small subunit ribosomal RNA", at positions 335 to 639 of the family's 1533-position model. The record is from RNAcentral.
AACCUACGGGGGGCAGCAGUGAGGAAUAUUGGUCAAUGGACGAGAGUCUGAACCAGCCAAGUAGCGUGAAGGAUGACUGCCCUAUGGGUUGUAAACUUCUUUUAUAUGGGAAUAAAAUGAGCCACGUGUGGCUUUUUGUAUGUACCAUACGAAUAAGGAUCGGCUAACUCCGUGCCAGCAGCCGCGGUAAUACGGAGGAUCCGAGCGUUAUCCGGAUUUAUUGGGUUUAAAGGGUGCGCAGGCGGAUUUUUAAGUCAGCGGUCAAAUCGUGGGGCUCAACCCCAUCCAGCCGUUGAAACUGGGGA